GCCGUUGUGGCUCAGUGGUUGAGCAUCGACCUAUGUAUGAGUCAAGAGAUCCUGGUUCGAUUCCUGGUCAGGGCA
RNAcentral lists this transfer RNA (75 nucleotides) under Myotis brandtii (Brandt's bat). It matches the Rfam family "tRNA". From Rfam's summary of the family: Transfer RNA (tRNA) molecules are approximately 80 nucleotides in length. Their secondary structure includes four short double-helical elements and three loops (D, anti-codon, and T loops). Lineage: Eukaryota; Metazoa; Chordata; Mammalia; Chiroptera; Vespertilionidae. The record is from Rfam by way of RNAcentral.